CCCUUCGGAACGGGAUAGUGUCUGGAAACGGACAGUAAUACCGUAUAACGUAUUUUUACCGCAUGAUAGAAAUACCAAAACUGAGGUGCCGAAGGAUGGGCUCGCGUCUGAUUAGAUAGUUGGUGGGGUAACGGCCUAUCAAGUCGACGAUCAGUAGCCGGACUGAGAGGUUGAACGGCCACAUUGGGACUGAGACACGGCCCAGACUCCUACGGGAGGCAGCAGUGGGGAAUAUUGCACAAUGGGGGAAACCCUGAUGCAGCAACGCCGCGUAAAGGAAGACGGUUUUCGGAUUGUAAAUUUCUGUUCUUAGUGAAGAAUAAUGACGGUAGCUAAGGAGCAAGCCACGGCUAAGUACGUGCCGGCAGCCGCGGUAAUACGUAGGUGGCAAGCGUUGUCCGGAAUUACUGGGUGUAAAGGGAGCGUAGGCGGGAUGCCAAGUCAGCUGUGAAAACUAUGGGUUUAACCUGUAGACUGCAGUUGAAACUGGUAUUCUUGAGUGAAGUAGAGGUUGGCGGAAUUCCGAGUGUAGCGGUGAAAUGCGUAGAUAUU
Molecule: ribosomal RNA, 552 nt
Filed under: uncultured Bacillota bacterium
Lineage: Bacteria; Bacillati; Bacillota
Description: bacterial SSU rRNA
Rfam family: Bacterial small subunit ribosomal RNA
Source: RNAcentral